This 251-nucleotide ribosomal RNA is filed under the name uncultured prokaryote. RNAcentral describes it as "partial 16S rRNA". It matches the Rfam family "Bacterial small subunit ribosomal RNA", at positions 525 to 775 of the family's 1533-position model. The record is from RNAcentral.
ACGUAGGUGGCGAGCGUUGUCCGGAAUCACUGGGCGUAAAGGGCGCGUAGGCGGUUUUGCAAGUCGCAUGUGAAAGACCAGGGCUUAACCUUGGGAGGUCAUGCGAAACUGCAGGACUUGAGUGCAGUAGAGGUAAGCGGAAUUCCUGGUGUGGCGGUAAAAGGCGUAGAGAUCAGGAGGACCAGCUGGGGCGAAGGCGACAUACUGGACUAGCAAGGAUGCUGAGCCGGGAAAGGGUGGGGACCAAAAAG